GAUAGAAAUUUGAUAGAGUUCAACUAAAUGUUUAGGUGUACGACAACCUUGUGUCAGGACCUACGAGCUAAGGGAUAGUCUCAGGUAGACAGUUUCUAUGGAGCGUAGGCCUCCUAAAAGGUAACAGAGGCAUGCAAAGGUUUCUUCGGGCCAGACGAGGAUUGGCCAUCGAGUGAAAAGGCAGAAGGAAGCUUGGCUGCAAGACCCACCCGUUGAGUAGGGACGAAAGUCAACCUUAAUUAUCCAACGGUGCUGAGUGGAAGGGCCGUCGCUCAACAGAUAAAAGUUGCUCUAAGGAUAAUAGGUUGAUCUUCCCCAAUAGCUCACAUCAACAGGAAGGUUUGGCACCACGAUGUCGGCUCUUCGCAACCUAGGGCUGUAGUAUGUUCCAAGAGUUGGGCUGUUCGCCCAUUAAAGCAAUACAUGAGCUAAGUUUAGAACGUCGUGAGAUAGUUCAGUCCAUAUC
Non-coding RNA from Gossypium hirsutum (cotton), 466 nucleotides. Lineage: Eukaryota; Viridiplantae; Streptophyta; Magnoliopsida; Malvales; Malvaceae. The record is from Rfam.